AUACGGAGGGUCCAAGCGUUAUCCGGAAUCAUUGGGUUUAAAGGGUUCGUAGGCGGGUCAAUAAGUCAGAGGUGAAAUCUUGCAGCUUAACUGUAAAAUUGCCUUUGAAACUGUUGACCUUGAAUUACUGUGAAGUGGUUAGAAUAUGUAGUGUAGCGGUGAAAUGCUUAGAGAUUACAUAGAAUACCGAUUGCGAAGGCAGAUCACUAACAGUAUAUUGACGCUGAUGAAUGAAAGCGUGGGUAGCGAACGGGAUUAGAAACCCCGGUAGUCC
RNAcentral lists this ribosomal RNA (274 nucleotides) under uncultured bacterium. Its description in RNAcentral is "partial 16S ribosomal RNA". It matches the Rfam family "Bacterial small subunit ribosomal RNA", at positions 523 to 796 of the family's 1533-position model. The record is from RNAcentral.